AGGGUUUGAUUCUGGCUCAGAUUGAACGCUGGCGGAAUGCUUUACACAUGCAAGUCGAACGGCAGCACGGGGCAACCUGGUGGCGAGUGGCGAACGGGUGAGUAAUACAUCGGAACGUGCCCAAUCGUGGGGGAUAACGUAGCGAAAGUUACGCUAAUACCGCAUACGAUCUAAGGAUGAAAGCGGGGGAUCGCAAGACCUCGCGCGAAUGGAGCGGCCGAUGUCAGAUUAGGUAGUUGGUGGGGUAAAGGCUCACCAAGCCGACGAUCUGUAGC
RNAcentral lists this ribosomal RNA (275 nucleotides) under uncultured beta proteobacterium. Its description in RNAcentral is "partial 16S ribosomal RNA". It matches the Rfam family "Bacterial small subunit ribosomal RNA", at positions 8 to 287 of the family's 1533-position model. The record is from RNAcentral. Lineage: Bacteria; Pseudomonadati; Pseudomonadota; Betaproteobacteria.